GACGAACGCUGGCGGCGUGCCUAAUACAUGCAAGUCGAACGCUGAAGAGAGGAGCUUGCUCUUCUUGGAUGAGUUGCGAGCGGGUGAGUAACGCGUAGGUAACCUGCAUUGUAGCGGGGGAUACCUAUUGGAAACGUUAGCUCAUACAGCAUAAGAAUGGGUGACACAUGUCAUUUAUUUGCAAGGGGCAAUUGCUCCACUACAAGAUGGUCCUGCGUUGUAUUGGCUAGUAGGUGAGGUAACCGCUCACCUAGGCGACGAUUCAUAGCCGGCUGAGGAAGGUGGUCGGCCACACUGGGACGGGGACACGGCCCAGACUCCUACGGGAAGCAGCAGGAGGGGAACUUCGGCAAUGGGGGCAACCCUGACCGAGCAACGCCGCGGGGUGGAAGAAGGGUUUCGGAUCGUAAAGCUCUGUUGUAAGGCAAGAAAGGGUGUGAGAGUGGAAAGUUCACACUGUGACGUUAGCUUACCAGAAAGGGACGGCUAACUACGUG
RNAcentral lists this ribosomal RNA (497 nucleotides) under uncultured bacterium. RNAcentral's name for it is "partial 16S ribosomal RNA". It matches the Rfam family "Bacterial small subunit ribosomal RNA", at positions 28 to 507 of the family's 1533-position model. The record is from RNAcentral.